Molecule: long non-coding RNA, 1011 nt
Organism: Gasterosteus aculeatus (three-spined stickleback)
Lineage: Eukaryota; Metazoa; Chordata; Actinopteri; Perciformes; Gasterosteidae
Source: Ensembl
AUGAUUUGUGUUCAGUCUGUUUUAGGUCUGUUUGCUGAGAGAGAGAAAAUCCAGAAUGAGAUCCACAACCUGGAGGAAGUCCUGGGACAACACAGCCCUAUCAGCGUCUCGGGUACCUGUCUUGUCUCUCUGUCCUAUCAGCGUCUCGGGUACCUGUCUUGUCUCUCUGUCCUAUCAGCGUCUCGGGUACCUGUCUUGUCUCUCUGUCCUAUCAGCGUCUCGGGUACCUGUCUGUCUCUUAGUCCUAUCAGCGUCUCGGGUACCUGUCUUCUCUCUCUGUCCUAUCAGCGUCUCGGGUACCUGUCUGUCUCUCUGUCCUAUCUGCGUCUCGGGUACCUGUCUGUCUCUCUGUCCUAUCAGCCUCUCAGGUACCUGUCUUGUCUGUCUCUUAGUCCUAUCAGCGUCUCGGGUACCUGUCUUGUCUGUCUCUUAGUCCUAUCAGCGUCUCGGGUACCUGUCUUGUCUCUCUGUCCUAUCAGCGUCUCGGGUACCUGUCUGUCUCUCUGUCCUAUCAGCGUCUCGGGUACCUGUCUUGUCUGUCUCUUAGUCCUAUCAGCGUCUCGGGUACCUGUCUGUCUCUCUGUCCUAGCUGCGUCUCUGGUACCUGUCUUGUCUGUCUCUUAGUCCUAUCAGCGUCUCGGGUACCUCAACAUCAUAUAUUCUUGUCUGUUGUUUUUUUCGUCAGAUGACGAGGACAGCAGCAGCAGUGAGGAGGUCAGUGAUGUCUUCACAUCAUCUACAGAGAGACGAGUCAGUGUAAUACUAACGGUGUCUGUACCCGUCUGUCUCUCUGUACCCGUCUGUCUGUACUUGACUGUGUUCAGAGUGAGCUGGGUCUGUCUCCGUCAACGGAUUCGUGUCUUCAGAUGAACCUCGUCUACCAGCAAGUGGUUCAAGAGACGCUAGACCAGUUGGAGACACUUCUGACACACAACCACAGACAACAGGUCAGCACUGACACAUCACAUUACAUUACAUCACAUCACAUUACAUCACAUUACAUUACACUAC